AAAAAAAAAAAAAAGCUUUUACCAUUAACCAAGCACGUUGCACGUGCCGCCGAACACUAGUUAACAAUUCAAUGAGUCAAUAAGAUUGCACAAAUUUAAACACCUCCUCCCAUCCAAAGGUAUCCAGUAGACUAAGGACACGAUUUUAGCCUUUCAAUAUUCAAAUCUAGUCCUUCAAAGGUCCUAUUUUCUCCCUCCAAAUGUGCCACAUCAAACGUUAGGGAUGCACUUACAAGUUGCAUGGAGUUGGAUGAAGCUCCUUUUCAAUGUUUCAUGUUUCAUGCCCAUCUCCAAUUUAAUUUUCUUCAAUGAAUUAUAUACCCUUGUAGUUCUGACUGCUACACUUCUACUGUCUUGUUAAUGAAAUUUUAUCGAUUCCGUAUGGUUGAGUAAAAUGUUUGAGGGCUUGAGGCUAGUCUAGAAAUGUUUCCUACGCAUUCUAGUUUUCCUAAGUGAUGUCAAUUAUGUCGCCAACUUUCUCUGUUAAAGAUUAUUAACCAACGUAUGCUUUUAGAUGAAUGAGAUGGAUGGUAAUAUACAGUACAGAAUAUAAUUGAAUCAUGUAGAAACGUGAGCAGGGGAAAAGCAAAAGCAAAAGCAGAUAAUAAGGACAAUUCUAGUUUAUUCUCCACUGAUCUCUGCCUACCCUUUUUCACAAUAUUUUAAACCCACAAAAGAUUUCAGUAUAGCUGUGCUUGAAAUUGCAGAGAGCUACUAUUUUCAUUGCAUGUUGAAUAGAAUAUUUGUUGUAUACAUGAAAAAAGCUUAUGACACUGUGCUUUGUACACCAAAUUUGCCAUUUUAGAUCAAAUCCAAGCAGAAAUUUUGUUCCGCAUCCUCACCUUGUUGUUCUGCAGCUUCGAGCAACUAGAACACCAGUUGGUGGACCAGUCAUCUGUAAUUGACAUCUGCUAUGCAACCAUUCCACAGCAAGAUUCUGGGGCAAAAAAACCAAGCUGGAUAUGAAGUGAACUGCUUCCAACCUCUUCUCCCCUCUUCUUUGAGUAAAAGGCUCUAUAGCUUGAGUAGCUAUUAGCCUGUCAGAAAAGAAAAGCUCUACACUCAAAUACUCAAAUCUUACAUUAAUUUUCCGAUUUGGGUUAGAGAAAUUUGCGAGGAAAGUAAAGUCACCAUUGAAAUA
Molecule: long non-coding RNA, 1141 nt
Organism: Quercus robur (English oak)
Lineage: Eukaryota; Viridiplantae; Streptophyta; Magnoliopsida; Fagales; Fagaceae
Exons: 2
Source: RefSeq, a predicted model, not a curated record